Molecule: long non-coding RNA, 2356 nt
Organism: Carassius gibelio (silver crucian carp)
Lineage: Eukaryota; Metazoa; Chordata; Actinopteri; Cypriniformes; Cyprinidae
Exons: 6
Source: RefSeq, a predicted model, not a curated record
CCCGUUCUCAUCAGUCUGCGUAUAAAUAACACGACUUUACAUUUUCUAUUUGCGUGUAAUGCAUACGCCAAAUGCCAUUUUUGCGUGCAUAUGAUACGCCAAUCCUUCCCAUUAAUUUCGGUGGAGAGCAGAUGCGUCCAAAUAACACGCAUCAUCUUCAGCGGCAGUGACGUCACUAGCGUGGCUCGUUCAGUUCACCUGAUGCGCGUACACCUUCAAACAGGUAAGCAAGGGUAAAUAUAUUUUUUUAUUCUUCUUUUUGUAAUGAUAUCACGUGGUUAAGCGUAUUGUUUUAAUUAUUUCAGUAUUUCUGCAUCACGUUAGACAGGGUCGUGUUUUUAAAGGGCAGUUUAUGCUCAAAUUAUGGGUCAGUGGGCUGCUCAGCUAGCCUACCAUUGUCAUUAGCCUAAGCUAACCUGUACUGUUUAUAGACCUGUUGCAGUUUUAAAUAAAUUUAUGAUGUGACAUAUGGGUCUUCAGCUUUUAGACAUGACUAAUACAAGCACAACAAAGCACCCAACCCAAUAUCGCGUGAUAAUCGUGAUCGUGUAAAAAGUCCACACAUUUAGCAUAUUUUUACAAUACUAGCCUAACUUUUGCUUGACCACGUCAUGUGUAGCCAAUACACACACAGUAACUACAGCAUAUUUACCAUGCUUCUCCUACUGUAACCGUAGUUUUACUCUGGACUUUGUAACGCACAUAACCACGACAUUUACUAUGGGUUUACCAUAGUAACCAUAGUUUUACUCUGGUAUUUGUAGUUACUAACACACAAUAACCACGACAUUUACUAUGGGUUUACCAUAGUAACCAUAGUUUUACUCUGGUAUUUGUAGUUACUAACACACAAUAACCACGACAUUUACUAUGGGUUUACCAUAGUAACCAUAGUUUUACUCUGGUAUUUGUAUUUACUAACACACAAUAACCACAACAUUUACUAUGGGUUUACCAUAGUAACCAUAGUUUUACUCUGGUAUUUGUAUUUACUAACACACAAUAACCACAACAUUUACUAUGGGUUUACCAUAGUAACCAUAGUUUUACUCUGGUAUUUGUAGUUACUAACACACAAUAACCACAACAUUUACUAUGGGUUUACCAUAGUAACCAUAGUUUUACUCUGGUAUUUGUAUUUACUAACACACAAUAACCACAACAUUUACUAUGGGUUUACCAUAGUAACCAUAGUUUUACUCUGGUAUUUGUAUUUACUAACACACAAUAACCACAACAUUUACUAUGGGUUUACCAUAGUAACCAUAGUUUUACUCUGGUAUUUGUAUUUACUAACACACAAUAACCACAACACUUACCAGGAUUUUACCACAGUAACUGUUUUUACUCUACACUAUUUGUAAAGCACAGUAACCACUAAGUUUGCCAUGCCUUUAAUAUCUUUUUGUGAUGUAAUUGUAAUUCAGUGUUUUUUCUGUCUUGCAGUUACGUCGGAUUACAUACUCCACAACAACCUGUAAUCCAGCAGAUCUUUAAAGAAGCCAUCUCUUGUCAAAUCUCUCUCUCUCUCUCUCUCUCUCUCUCUCUCUCUCUCUCUCUCUCUCUCUCUCUCUCUCUCUCUCUCUCUCUCUCUCUCGCUCUGCUAGAAUUAACAGGGAACUUCAACUCCACGCUCCCAAUGCUGAUAUUGAAGAAGCAGUCAAGGGGGCUGAACAAGUCCUUCAAAGGAUCAACCCUUCACAGGAAGGCCUGUCAUGAGAUUUGAAUUUGACCAUCUUGUGCAUUUAUGAAGAAGACCAAAAGCUGCAAAGGCAAACACUUCCAAUGGCAGAAACUGAGAGUUUGCAUGAUGGCAUUUUCUCAGACGCUGAAUCUGAUGUGUACAGAUGAACUCAGGAGCCUACUAGAGUUGCCAAGGAACUUGUGAUUGAACUGAAGACCAGAAACGCAAAGAAAAUCAGUCAAACCAGUCCUAAAGAAAUGAGGAAUGAACAUGGACUUCUUGUGCCCCAAAAGAAAAGACAGAAAGCUCCUAAAAUGAGCAAAUAAGCUGUGCAUCAUCUCUGUGAUUUGGGAAGGAAAUGACUGAAUAUGAUGAAGCCAAUUGAUGAAGAUAUCAAUUGAAUGGCCACCGAGUGCAUCACUGCUACCUGAACCCAUCAGUUAUCUUCUGUGAAGACUGCAUUCACAAACCGCUCUACUGCGACAGCUCAGAUGUUACGGCCUGUAAAAGUAAACAUCACAGCUAAACAACGAGAGCUAGUUGUGGUGGGAUUCUUUUGGCCAAUAUCCCCAACAAGAAUCAAUGUUAAGUCCAGUGCAACAAUUAUAAAUAAAAAUACUAUAUAUUGUUUAUUGAUUUACCAUAACCUAAAUACAUGUUUUGGCCCUCCAG